Non-coding RNA from Myotis davidii, 138 nucleotides. Lineage: Eukaryota; Metazoa; Chordata; Mammalia; Chiroptera; Vespertilionidae. The record is from Rfam.
UGCACUUCAUGGUAUCUGUAUUCAGUAGUUUAUUCUUGCUAGGUGUUCAAAGGACAGGGCAAUAUAAAUUUAGUAUCUGGCAUCGUUGGUUUUCUUGGCUUUGUGCAUGUUAAACCUGGUAUUUUUAUUGAGACGUUA